Molecule: ribosomal RNA, 1189 nt
Filed under: Macrostomum tuba
Lineage: Eukaryota; Metazoa; Platyhelminthes; Macrostomidae
Description: eukaryotic LSU rRNA
Rfam family: Eukaryotic large subunit ribosomal RNA
Source: RNAcentral
ACCCGCUGAAUUUAAGCAUAUUAAUAAGCGGAGGAAAAGAAACUAACAAGGAUUCCCCUAGUAACGGCGAGUGAACGGGGAAGAGCCCAACACCGAAUCCCUUGGCGCACAAGUCAACGGGAACUGUGGUGUUAAGGUUACCCUUCGUGCCGGUCUAGGCGUCUCAAGUCCACCUGAUUGUGGCUCAAGCCCAGAGAGGGUGUAAGGCCCGUAGAGGCGCUCUGACUGGUUCCUGGGGUGUACCUACGAGUCGGCUUGUUUGGGAAUGCAGGCCAAAGCGGGUGGUAAACUCCAUCCAAGGCUAAAUACUGACACGAGUCCGAUAGCGGACAAGUACCGUGAGGGAAAGUUGAAAAGAACUUUGAAGAGAGAGUUCAAUAGUACGUGAAACCGCUUAGAGGCAAACGGAUGGUGCUCAAACUGGCCUGGGGAAUUCAACCGAUUGGGUGGUUGGGCUGGCUGACGUCAGAUCUCUAUCUAUUUUGGGACUGCGCGUUGGUCGGUUGCCAGCUCCGAGUCGGUGCACUUUCCCUAGCGCCUUCGCCACGACCGACGACACUGGCUACCCGCGGCUGGGGUAAGGUGACAAUCUGCUUCACGGCAGUGUUGCGUUUAUAGACCCUGGCGUCGGACAUUGUUUGGCCAGGACGUCGGAGCUAGCGGCGCCCGCUCACAAUUUUGGGCUCGUAUGCUGGCCUACUUGGCUGUGUCGAUGCUUGCACUGGUUAAUCAGUACAGGUGACGAUUGCGGUCUUGCCUGGUUGGUCUCUGCGAGUUUGGUGCCUAUAGUCUGUGGUGUUCUCUGUGGGUAGACUAUCCGACCCGUCUUGAAACACGGACCAAGGAGUCUAACAUGUGCGCGAGUCAUGGGGAUUUCUACGAAACCCAAAGGCGCAGUGAAAGUAAAGGCUUGCUUCCGCAGGCUGAGGUGGGAUCUCGUGCAUCGCGAUUGGCGAGCGCACCACCGGCCCGUCCUAUCUGUCUCUGUCAGUGGGGCGGCGCAAGAGCGUACACGUUGGGACCCGAAAGAUGGUGAACUAUGCUUGCGCAGCUCGAAGUCAGUGGAAACACUGAUGGAGGAGCGCAGCGUUUCUGACGUGCAAAUCGAUCGUCAAACGUGAGUAUAGGGGCGAAAGACUAAUCGAACCAUCUAGUAGCUGGUUCCCUCCGAAGUUUCCCUCAGGAUAGC